Molecule: long non-coding RNA, 667 nt
Organism: Photinus pyralis (common eastern firefly)
Lineage: Eukaryota; Metazoa; Arthropoda; Insecta; Coleoptera; Lampyridae
Exons: 3
Source: RefSeq, a predicted model, not a curated record
AAAGAUAAAGACUCAAAUUGUGUACGCACUGCUGACGAAAUACACAUUUCAAUGAAACGGAAUAUAUAACUAGAAACAUAACCUUUGUGAGCUAUGCGAUGCGGCAAAUACUGAAACAUUACUUCUGGUUUUAGUAGUUAGGACGCCAUUGACUAUUACCGUUGAGUGAAUGUUACCAAAGCGAAAGCAGGGCCGGAAGUAAAUUCUCGCGGUCAAUAAUGACUUCUUCUCUCCCUCUUCAUAACUCUUCGCUUGUUAGUUAGGCUUAGGUGGCGCCACUCGCAAUUUAUUUAGAAAACAACGUGUAAAACUUGGAGGUCCGUAUUUACCUACGUCAUCGUCUAAUGAUAUUUCAAAAGGCCAUGUAUAUUAAUUAACUGAUAUAUAUUAACUACAUUGCGUGAAAGAAAAAGCUGAAGUCCCAGUUAAAAACAAAGUUUAAGAUAUAUUAAAUUACUUUGACUCUACCUUUUGCUCAUUAUAAUAUUGGGCAACAUUCAAAUGAGCUGAAAAAAAUCGUACGUCCGAAAAGGGUUCAUAGUUCAUCUUUGUGGAAACUCAAAACUUCGCUGGCAAUGCAGUUUUAAUGGUUUUGGUUGGCAUGUUAUUUACUUGAAUUACCUACAAGAAAUGUUGAUCGGACACGAGAAGCUCCAAACGCCUUGCG